UGGAAAUGAUGAAAUGGAGGUAAUAGGGAAUAGUAAGGGGUGUGUAUAUUAGGUAAGGGGGGCAAAUUUUAGUCUGAAGUAAAAGGGGUUGGUUGUGUAAAAGCUAUAUAGUGAUGUAAACUGUGGGCACUGAUAAAGAAGCUGUUGAUUUCGCAGUGCAUCUGAGGCCUUGUUGCUAAAUCAUCUGGGUUUACUGCAACAUUGCCAGUGAUUAGAGCCCAAAAUAAGCUCGCAGUUUGCAUCUAGACAUUUUAAACCUCUAACAGGUUCCUUUUGUUAGGCAAAAGGAAUGUGAUCUGAUCCAA
Zootoca vivipara (common lizard) is the source of this 305-nucleotide non-coding RNA. RefSeq annotates it as small Cajal body-specific RNA 7. NCBI's taxonomy places the organism in Eukaryota, Metazoa, Chordata, Lepidosauria, Squamata, Lacertidae. The record is from RefSeq and is a predicted model, not a curated record.